GGAUUAGAUACCCUGGUAGUCCACGCCCUAAACGAUGUCAACUAGUUGUUGGGUGGGUAAAACCAUUUAGUAACGUAGCUAACGCGUGAAGUUGACCGCCUGGGGAGUACGGCCGCAAGGUUAAAACUCAAAGGAAUUGACGGGGACCCGCACAAGCGGUGGAUGAUGUGGAUUAAUUCGAUGCAACGCGAAAAACCUUACCUACCCUUGACAUGUUCAGAAUCCCGGAGAGAUUUGGGAGUGCCCGAAAGGGAGCUGGAACACAGGUGCUGCAUGGCUGUCGUCAGCUCGUGCCG
RNAcentral lists this ribosomal RNA (296 nucleotides) under uncultured bacterium. RNAcentral describes it as "partial 16S ribosomal RNA". It matches the Rfam family "Bacterial small subunit ribosomal RNA", at positions 775 to 1067 of the family's 1533-position model. The record is from RNAcentral.